RNAcentral lists this ribosomal RNA (485 nucleotides) under uncultured bacterium. Its description in RNAcentral is "partial 16S ribosomal RNA". It matches the Rfam family "Bacterial small subunit ribosomal RNA", at positions 30 to 508 of the family's 1533-position model. The record is from RNAcentral.
AUUGAACGCUGGCGGCAGGCCUAACACAUGCAAGUCGAGCGGAUGAAGGGAGCUUGCUCCUGGAUUCAGCGGCGGACGGGUGAGUAAUGCCUAGGAAUCUGCCUGGUAGUGGGGGAUAACGUCCGGAAACGGGCGCUAAUACCGCAUACGUCCUGAGGGAGAAAGUGGGGGAUCUUCGGACCUCACGCUAUCAGAUGAGCCUAGGUCGGAUUAGCUAGUUGGUGGGGUAAAGGCCUACCAAGGCGACGAUCCGUAACUGGUCUGAGAGGAUGGUCAGUCACACUGGAACUGAGACACGGUCCAGACUCCUACGGGAGGCAGCAGUGGGGAAUAUUGGACAAUGGGUGAAAGCCUGAUCCAGCCAUGCCGCGUGUGUGAAGAAGGUCUUCGGAUUGUAAAGCACUUUAAGUUGGGAGGAAGGGCAGUAAGUUAAUACCUUGCUGUUUUGACGUUACCAACAGAAUAAGCACCGGCUAAGUUCGUGC